GCYGGUGUUUCUGCAAAGCAUUGUGAGGCAGCUAGCUUCUUCUCUAGCAGAUGUUCCAUGAUGUCCUUACAAAUCACCUAUUACUUGUAUUUUGCUGAUUUUGUGUAAAACUGGGGAGAAGGUAAGAGAAGAACAAACUAGGCUGGAGAUCACAUGGAAACUCUGAAACUCAAGACCAGAUGAAUCUGAAAUGGCAAGGGAGGCAGAAAGAAUCAAGAGGGAGAGCACGGACAAUGCACACUGGGAUCCCAAAGACUGCGAAUCUUCUUUCCUUUUGCAUUUUCGUCUAUUUUCACAGACGAGGAUAUGGUUUCCAAACGCCUCAUGUGAUGUCCAGAGUUCAGAGUUAUUCACCUCUGAAUACUCACUCAGCAAUGAAGAAAGUUAUGUGGUCAGCAGAAAUAACUAUCUUGACGUAGCAAUUCAGGGAACAUCUAUUUUAAAUCUGUCCCUUGGAAAUUUCACGAAUGAUUUAUCAAAGUCAUAUAUGAUCUAUAACUGUUUCCUUGAGAUAAAUUCUUAGGGGUAGAAUGGCAGGAUCAGAGAGUAUAAAAAGUGUGAGACUUGUAGGAAAGACGGUGGAAUGAGAUGGACAUCAUUACCCUAAGUACAUGUAUGAAGACACAAAUGGCGUGAUUCUACUUUGUGUACAACCAGAGAAAUGAAAAAUUGUGCUCUAUAUGUGUACUAUGAAUUGAAAUGCAUUCUGCUGUCAUGUAUAAUGAAUUAAAAUAAGUAAAUAAAUA
Molecule: long non-coding RNA, 746 nt
Filed under: Urocitellus parryii (Arctic ground squirrel)
Lineage: Eukaryota; Metazoa; Chordata; Mammalia; Rodentia; Sciuridae
Description: lncRNA (ENSUPAG00010004174.1)
Source: RNAcentral